Molecule: ribosomal RNA, 565 nt
Filed under: Pithecophaga jefferyi
Lineage: Eukaryota; Metazoa; Chordata; Aves; Accipitriformes; Accipitridae
Description: partial 16S ribosomal RNA
Rfam family: Bacterial large subunit ribosomal RNA
Source: RNAcentral
AGCCUUCAGCAAUCCAAGUAUUGAAGGUGAUGCCUGCCCAGUGACCCCCCAGUUCAACGGCCGCGGUAUCCUAACCGUGCGAAGGUAGCGCAAUCAAUUGUCCCAUAAAUCGAGACUUGUAUGAAUGGCUAAACGAGGCCUUAACUGUCUCCUGCAGAUAGUCAGUGAAAUUGAUCCUCCCGUGCAAAAGCAGGAAUAGGCACAUAAGACGAGAAGACCCUGUGGAACUUAAAAAUCAACAGCCACCACCACACAGAUACACACCUACCAGGCCCACAGUCAAAGUUAAGUACUGGCCUGUAUUUUUUGGUUGGGGCGACCUUGGAGAAAAGAGAAACCUCCAAAAACAAGACCACCCAUCUUAACCAAGAGCAACCCCUCAACGUACUAACAGUAACCAGACCCAAUAAAAUUGAUCAAUGGACCAAGCUACCCCAGGGAUAACAGCGCAAUCUCUCCCAAGAGCCCCUAUCGACGGAGGGGUUUACGACCUCGAUGUUGGAUCAGGACAUCCUAAUGGUGCAGCCGCUAUUAAGGGUUCGUUUGUUCAACGAUUAACAGUCCU